This 397-nucleotide ribosomal RNA is filed under the name Acanthosepion ellipticum. RNAcentral describes it as "Sepia elliptica partial 12S ribosomal RNA". The record is from RNAcentral. Lineage: Eukaryota; Metazoa; Mollusca; Cephalopoda; Sepiida; Sepiidae.
CUUUAUUUUAAAUUUUUUUUAUUUAAGUAGUAGUGAUUAGUAUAUAUAUAUAUAUUAAUAUUAUUUGAAACUUAAAAAGCUUGGCGUACUAUAUAUCCAUUCAGGGRAGCUUGUUUAUUAAUUUGAUAAUCCUCAAUUAAUUCUUACUUUUUUUUGAAAUUAACAGUUUGUAUAUUGCUGUCAUCAGUUUAUUUCGUGAGAAUUUUAAAAAACUUGGAAGUAAUUUUACUAAUAUGUCAAGUCAAAAUGCAGCUAAUAGAAAAGGUUAAAAAUAAAAAUGAGCUACAAUUUAUAAUUUUUAAUUGGAUAAAAUAAUGUAAUGUAUUUUUGAAAUUGGACUUGAUAGUAAUAUAUUUAAAAUUAAAUAUGUUUAUGUGAAUUAGGUUUUAUAGUGUGU